UACGGGAGGCAGCAGUGGGGAAUAUUGCACAAUGGGCGAAAGCCUGAUGCAGCUAUGCCGCGUGUAUGAAGAAGGCCUUAGGGUUGUAAAGUACUUUCAUCGGGGAGGAAAAAACAAAACUAAUAAUUUUAUUUCUUGACGUUACCCGAAAAAGAAGCACCGGCUAACUCCGUGCCAGCAGCCGCGGUAAUACGGAGGGUGCUAGCGUUAAUCAGAAUUACUGGGCGUAAAGAGCACGUAGGUGGUUUUUUUAAGUCAGAUGUGAAAUCCCUGGGCUUAACCUGGAACUGCAUUUUGAAACUGAAAUACUAGAGUAUCGUAGAGGGAGGUAGAAUUCUAGGUGUAGCGGUGAAAUGCGUAGAUAUCUGGAGGAAUACCUGUGGCGAAAGCGGCCUCCUAAACGAAUACUGACACUGAGUGCGAAAGCGUGGGGAGCGAAACAGGGAUUAGAUACC
RNAcentral lists this ribosomal RNA (455 nucleotides) under uncultured bacterium. Its description in RNAcentral is "bacterial SSU rRNA". It matches the Rfam family "Bacterial small subunit ribosomal RNA", at positions 340 to 786 of the family's 1533-position model. The record is from RNAcentral.